UCUUGACUUGAAGCAUUUUGAUGAUUGGGGUGUGACAGGGAACAGGUAGCAAGGAGGUGAAAGGUGAGGGCUUGUCCUGGGCCAGACUACAGAGAGGCUGGGAAGAGGGUCCCACAAAAGCAAACAAAGUAAAAGUUGGUGGUGAAGACAAAGGUUCCAGGCUACUUCGCUGUAGGCCUGCUAUAGGCUACACAUGCUUGCUGUCUAUGUGGACCUCGCUGAGGCUGUUGGGAGGAUAAACAAUUCUCAUUGUGCAGAGGAAGGGAAGCAACUCGUCUGGAUGCAUAGGCAGCACGACGUGGCAUGGUGACAUUAAGGCCAUUUGAGGAAGGACCAUGGACAACGGCAGUUUCCGGAAACCUUCUCUUGAUAAGAACACUGGAGUCUCUGCAGCAGUAGCCGCUGUGGAAGAGUAUCUGGAGACGCCCACGGAGCAGCCCUCCUAGAAAUGCUGCAGGAGGGAGAUGCGGGCCGCUGUGGACAGUGACAGUCCAGGUUAACCUCCACCUCUCUGUGUAGCUGAGGCUGGCCAUGAAUUUCUCAUCUCUGCUUCCCAAGAGCUGGAAUUACAGAUGUGUGUCACGA
Long non-coding RNA from Mesocricetus auratus (golden hamster), 585 nucleotides. RefSeq lists it as uncharacterized. NCBI's taxonomy places the organism in Eukaryota, Metazoa, Chordata, Mammalia, Rodentia, Cricetidae. The transcript is spliced from 3 exons. The record is from RefSeq and is a predicted model, not a curated record.